UGGGGAAUAUUGCACAAUGGGCGCAAGCCUGAUGCAGCGACGCCGCGUGAGGGAUGACGGCCUUCGGGUUGUAAACCUCUUUCAGCUCCGACGAAGCGCAAGUGACGGUAGGAGCAGAAGAAGCACCGGCCAACUACGUGCCAGCAGCCGCGGUAAUACGUAGGGUGCAAGCGUUGUCCGGAAUUACUGGGCGUAAAGAGCUCGUAGGCGGUUUGUCGCGUCGUCUGUGAAAUUCUGCAGCUUAACUGCAGGCGUGCUGGCGAUACGGGCAGACUUGAGUACUACAGGGGAGACUGGAAUUCCUGGUGUAGCGGUGAAAUGCGCAGAUAUCAGGAGGAACACCGGUGGCGAAGGCGGGUCUCUGAGUAGUAACUGACGCUGAGGAGCGAAAGCGUGGGUAGCGAACAGG
Molecule: ribosomal RNA, 409 nt
Filed under: Verrucomicrobiota bacterium
Lineage: Bacteria; Pseudomonadati; Verrucomicrobiota
Description: Verrucomicrobia bacterium partial 16S ribosomal RNA
Rfam family: Bacterial small subunit ribosomal RNA
Source: RNAcentral